GACGAACGCUGGCGGCGUGCUUAACACAUGCAAGUCGAACGGAAAGGCCCUGCUUGCAGGGUGCUCGAGUGGCGAACGGGUGAGUAACACGUGGGUGAUCUGCCCCUUACUUUGGGAUAAGCCUGGGAAACUGGGUCUAAUACUGGAUAGGACCAUGCUGUAGGUGGUGUGGUGGAAAGAUUAGUUUCGGUAAGGGAUGAGCUCGCGGCCUAUCAGCUUGUUGGUGGGGUAAUGGCCUACCAAGGCGUCGACGGGUAGCCGGCCUGAGAGGGUGGACGGCCACAUUGGGACUGAGAUACGGCCCAGACUCCUACGGGAGGCAGCAGUGGGGAAUAUUGCACAAUGGGCGCAAGCCUGAUGCAGCGACGCCGCGUGGGGGAUGACGGCCUUCGGGUUGUAAACUCCUUUCAGCUAUGACGAAGCCCUUGUGGUGACGGUAGUGGUAGAAGAAGCACCGGCUAACUACGUGCCAGCAGCCGCGGUAAUACGUAGGGUGCGAGCGUUGUCCGGAAUUACUGGGCGUAAAGAGCUCGUAGGUGGUCUGUCGCGUCAUUUGUGAAAGCCCGGGGCUUAACUCCGGGUUGGCAGGUGAUACGGGCAUGACUGGAGUACUGUAGGGGAGACUGGAAUUCCUGGUGUAGCGGUGAAAUGCGCAGAUAUCAGGAGGAACACCGGUGGCGAAGGCGGGUCUCUGGGCAGUAACUGACGCUGAGGAGCGAAAGCAUGGGUAGCGAACAGGAUUAGAUACCCUGGUAGUCCAUGCCGUAAACGGUGGGCGCUAGGUGUGGGUUUCCUUCCACGGGAUCCGUGCCGUAGCUAACGCAUUAAGCGCCCCGCCUGGGGAGUACGGCCGCAAGGCUAAAACUCAAAGGAAUUGACGGGGGCCCGCACGAGCGGCGGAGCAUGUGGAUUAAUUCGAUGCAACGCGAAGAACCUUACCUGGGCUUGACAUGCACUGGAUGCGGCCAGAGAUGGUUGUUCCCUUUGUGGCUGGUGUGCAGGUGGUGCAUGGUUGUCGUCAGCUCGUGCCGUGAGAUGUUGGGUUAAGUCCCGCAACGAGCGCAACCCUUGUCUCGUGUUGCCAGCAUUUGGUUGGGGACUCGCGGGAGACUGCCGGGGUUAACUCGGAGGAAGGUGGGGAUGACGUCAAAUCAUCAUGCCCCUUAUGUCCAGGGCUUCACACAUGCUACAAUGGCUGGUACAGAGAGUUGCGAUACCGUGAGGUGGGGCUAAUCUCGUAAAGCCAGUCUCAGUUCGGAUUGGAGUCUGCAACUCGACUCCAUGAAGUCGGAGUCGCUAGUAAUCGCAGAUCAGCAAUGCUGCGGUGAAUACGUUUCCCGGGCCU
RNAcentral lists this ribosomal RNA (1345 nucleotides) under uncultured bacterium. RNAcentral's name for it is "bacterial SSU rRNA". It matches the Rfam family "Bacterial small subunit ribosomal RNA", at positions 28 to 1381 of the family's 1533-position model. The record is from RNAcentral.